Molecule: non-coding RNA, 184 nt
Filed under: Bacillota bacterium
Lineage: Bacteria; Bacillati; Bacillota
Description: Firmicutes bacterium (anaerobic digester metagenome) 6S RNA
Rfam family: 6S / SsrS RNA
About the family: E. coli 6S RNA was the first non coding RNA to be sequenced, but its function was unknown until recently. It consists of 184 nucleotides that fold into an extended hairpin structure with a large single-stranded internal bulge. The 6S RNA specifically associates with RNA polymerase holoenzyme containing the sigma70 specificity factor.
Source: RNAcentral
GAGGCCCUGCUGUGCUCGUGAUCAAGCUGGCUUUGUUAUGAGCCAACACCAUAACAAAGGGAAUCUGACUCUACUGGUGGAAUGCAUGCCACUUUGAGUGGAAGCAAGAAAGCAGUAGGAAGAUACCCACCUGCUGGAGAGCAGGUUCAUUCAGGUCAGCAAAUAGCGGCAUGGUGGGGGACAC